This 71-nucleotide transfer RNA is filed under the name Wickerhamomyces canadensis. RNAcentral's name for it is "transfer RNA-Ile". It matches the Rfam family "tRNA". Rfam says of the family: Transfer RNA (tRNA) molecules are approximately 80 nucleotides in length. The record is from RNAcentral. Lineage: Eukaryota; Fungi; Ascomycota; Saccharomycetes; Phaffomycetales; Wickerhamomycetaceae.
GAGUUUAUAAUUUAACGGUAAAAUGAUACUUUGAUAAGGUAUAAAUAUAGGUUCGAUUCCUGUUAAACUCA